RNAcentral lists this ribosomal RNA (1528 nucleotides) under Klebsiella pneumoniae. Its description in RNAcentral is "bacterial SSU rRNA". It matches the Rfam family "Bacterial small subunit ribosomal RNA". Lineage: Bacteria; Pseudomonadati; Pseudomonadota; Gammaproteobacteria; Enterobacterales; Enterobacteriaceae. The record is from RNAcentral.
AGAGUUUGAUCAUGGCUCAGAUUGAACGCUGGCGGCAGGCCUAACACAUGCAAGUCGAGCGGUAGCACAGAGAGCUUGCUCUCGGGUGACGAGCGGCGGACGGGUGAGUAAUGUCUGGGAAACUGCCUGAUGGAGGGGGAUAACUACUGGAAACGGUAGCUAAUACCGCAUAAUGUCGCAAGACCAAAGUGGGGGACCUUCGGGCCUCAUGCCAUCAGAUGUGCCCAGAUGGGAUUAGCUAGUAGGUGGGGUAACGGCUCACCUAGGCGACGAUCCCUAGCUGGUCUGAGAGGAUGACCAGCCACACUGGAACUGAGACACGGUCCAGACUCCUACGGGAGGCAGCAGUGGGGAAUAUUGCACAAUGGGCGCAAGCCUGAUGCAGCCAUGCCGCGUGUGUGAAGAAGGCCUUCGGGUUGUAAAGCACUUUCAGCGGGGAGGAAGGCGUUAAGGUUAAUAACCUCAGCGAUUGACGUUACCCGCAGAAGAAGCACCGGCUAACUCCGUGCCAGCAGCCGCGGUAAUACGGAGGGUGCAAGCGUUAAUCGGAAUUACUGGGCGUAAAGCGCACGCAGGCGGUCUGUCAAGUCGGAUGUGAAAUCCCCGGGCUCAACCUGGGAACUGCAUUCGAAACUGGCAGGCUAGAGUCUUGUAGAGGGGGGUAGAAUUCCAGGUGUAGCGGUGAAAUGCGUAGAGAUCUGGAGGAAUACCGGUGGCGAAGGCGGCCCCCUGGACAAAGACUGACGCUCAGGUGCGAAAGCGUGGGGAGCAAACAGGAUUAGAUACCCUGGUAGUCCACGCCGUAAACGAUGUCGAUUUGGAGGUUGUGCCCUUGAGGCGUGGCUUCCGGAGCUAACGCGUUAAAUCGACCGCCUGGGGAGUACGGCCGCAAGGUUAAAACUCAAAUGAAUUGACGGGGGCCCGCACAAGCGGUGGAGCAUGUGGUUUAAUUCGAUGCAACGCGAAGAACCUUACCUGGUCUUGACAUCCACAGAACUUUCCAGAGAUGGAUUGGUGCCUUCGGGAACUGUGAGACAGGUGCUGCAUGGCUGUCGUCAGCUCGUGUUGUGAAAUGUUGGGUUAAGUCCCGCAACGAGCGCAACCCUUAUCCUUUGUUGCCAGCGGUUAGGCCGGGAACUCAAAGGAGACUGCCAGUGAUAAACUGGAGGAAGGUGGGGAUGACGUCAAGUCAUCAUGGCCCUUACGACCAGGGCUACACACGUGCUACAAUGGCAUAUACAAAGAGAAGCGACCUCGCGAGAGCAAGCGGACCUCAUAAAGUAUGUCGUAGUCCGGAUUGGAGUCUGCAACUCGACUCCAUGAAGUCGGAAUCGCUAGUAAUCGUAGAUCAGAAUGCUACGGUGAAUACGUUCCCGGGCCUUGUACACACCGCCCGUCACACCAUGGGAGUGGGUUGCAAAAGAAGUAGGUAGCUUAACCUUCGGGAGGGCGCUUACCACUUUGUGAUUCAUGACUGGGGUGAAGUCGUAACAAGGUAACCGUAGGGGAACCUGCGGUUGGAUCACCU